This 209-nucleotide ribosomal RNA is filed under the name uncultured bacterium. Its description in RNAcentral is "partial 16S ribosomal RNA". It matches the Rfam family "Bacterial small subunit ribosomal RNA", at positions 568 to 776 of the family's 1533-position model. The record is from RNAcentral.
CGCGUAGGCGGACCUGCAAGUCGGGGGUGAAAGCCCGAGGCUCAACCUCGGAACUGCCUUCGAUACUGCGGGUCUCGAGUCCGGGAGAGGUGAGUGGAAUUCCUAGUGUAGAGGUGAAAUUCGUAGAUAUUAGGAAGAACACCAGUGGCGAAGGCGGCUCACUGGCCCGGUACUGACGCUGAGGCGCGAAAGCGUGGGGAGGCAAAACA